CUUGAUCGACCCGAGCCAGAGCGGCUCUUCCCGGUCCUGGCCGUAGGUGGCCAGCAGGGCCUGGGCCUC
RNAcentral lists this antisense RNA (69 nucleotides) under Streptosporangium subroseum. Its description in RNAcentral is "ASpks TB sRNA". It matches the Rfam family "ASpks TB sRNA". Lineage: Bacteria; Bacillati; Actinomycetota; Actinomycetes; Streptosporangiales; Streptosporangiaceae. The record is from Rfam by way of RNAcentral.